GUUAAGUCAGAUGUGAAAGCCCCGGGGCUUAACCUCGGAAUUGCAUUUGAAACUGGCAGGCUAGAGUCUUGUAGGAGGGGGUAGAAUUUCAGGUGUAGCGGUGAAAUGCGUAGAGAUCUGAAGGAAUACCAGUGGCGAAGGCCGGCCCCCCUGGACAAAGACUGACGCUCAGAUGCGAAAGCGUGGGGAGCAAACAGGAUUAGAUACCCCUGGUAG
This 216-nucleotide ribosomal RNA is filed under the name uncultured bacterium. RNAcentral describes it as "partial 16S ribosomal RNA". It matches the Rfam family "Bacterial small subunit ribosomal RNA", at positions 582 to 793 of the family's 1533-position model. The record is from RNAcentral.